CAAAAUGAUAUUCUUGUCCCGAGAAUGAGUGCCCUUUUUCAUGCAUGACAAUACCUUACUGGCCUUGGCCACUGCUGAUUGACAUUGCACAUUGUUGCAUAGUUUGUUGUCUAUUACAAUUCCCAAGUCCUUUACGUGUGUGGUUAUCCCUAAUUCGCUUCCAUUAAAGGUAUAUGUUGCUUGUGUAUUCUUUACGCCGAAAUACAUAACUUUGCAUUUUUCAACAUUAAAUUUAAUCUGCCAUUUGAGUGCCCAGUCUCACAGUCUAUCUAAAUCCCUCUGCAGCAAAGUAAUAUCUUGCUCACAUUGUAUUAUUUUACAGAGUGUUGUGUCAUCUGCAAACACUGAAACAUGACUUUAAAUGCUUUCUUCAAGAUCAUUUAUAAACAUGUUAAAUAGAAGGGGUCCCAGAACAGACCCCUGAGGGACACCACUUGCCACCUCUGUCCAGCUUGAAAAUUUACCAUUAAUGACAACUCUUUGUACUCUGUUUUUAAGCCAAUGUUCUACCCAAGAACAAGCAUUUUCAUCUUGACGGAUUUCCUUGAGUUUGAACACUAAUCUAUAGUAUGGGACUGUAUCAAAUGCCUUGGCAAAAUCCAAAUAGAUCACAUCUAUUGCAACACCCUGAUCUUCUACUUACU
Pelobates cultripes (western spadefoot toad) is the source of this 644-nucleotide non-coding RNA. The record is from the annotation of a GenBank genome assembly. Lineage: Eukaryota; Metazoa; Chordata; Amphibia; Anura; Pelobatidae.